This 419-nucleotide ribosomal RNA is filed under the name bacterium. Its description in RNAcentral is "partial 16S ribosomal RNA". It matches the Rfam family "Bacterial small subunit ribosomal RNA", at positions 355 to 776 of the family's 1533-position model. The record is from RNAcentral.
UGGGGGAUAUUGCACAAUGGGCGAAAGCCUGAUGCAGCGACGCCGCGUGGGGGAUGAAGGCCUUCGGGUUGUAAACUUCUUUUGCUCUGAACAAGGCGCACCAUGGGGUGUGUUGAGUGUAGGGGUUGAUUAGCGCCGGCUAACUACGUGCCAGCAGCCGCGGUAAUACGUAGGGCGCGAGCGUUGUCCGGAAUUAUUGGGCGUAAAGGGCUUGUAGGUGGCUGGUUGCGUCUGUCGUGAAAGCUCAUGGCUUAACUGUGGGUUUGCGGUGGGUACGGGCUGGCUUGAGUGCAGUAGGGGAGGCUGGAAGUCCUGGUGUAGCGGUGGAAUGCGCAGAUUUCAGGAGGAAUACCGGUGGCGAAGGCGGGUCUCUGGGCUGUUACUGACACUGAGGAGCGAAAGCAUGGGGAGCGAACAGG